GGCCGUGUGGCCUAAUGGAUAAGGCGUCUGACUUCUAAUCAGAUGAUUGCAGGUUCGAACCCUGCCUGGGUCA
RNAcentral lists this transfer RNA (73 nucleotides) under Toxocara canis (dog roundworm). It matches the Rfam family "tRNA". Rfam says of the family: Transfer RNA (tRNA) molecules are approximately 80 nucleotides in length. Their secondary structure includes four short double-helical elements and three loops (D, anti-codon, and T loops). The record is from Rfam by way of RNAcentral. Lineage: Eukaryota; Metazoa; Nematoda; Chromadorea; Rhabditida; Toxocaridae.